AGUCCCUCCUCCACUCAGGUGUCACACAAGCCCCUCCUCCACUCAGGUGUCAUAUAGAGUCCCUCCUCCACUCAGGUGUCACACAGAUCACAUAGAUGUCACAUAGAGCCCCUCACCCACUUAGGUAUCAUGUAGAACCCAGCCUCCACUCAGGUGUCACGUAGAACCUGUCCUCCACUUAGGUGUCAUAUAUAACCCCUCCUCCACAUAAGUGUCACACAAGCCCCUCCUCCACUCAGGUGUCACACAAGCCCCUCCUCCACUCAGGUGAACCAUAGAACCUUCCUCCACUCAGGUAUCACUAAGAACCCCUCCUCUGAUCAGAGUCACAGAGACCGCGCUCCACUUGGAUGUCAUAUAGAGUCCCUCCUCCACGCAAGUAUCCCCUUCUUCCUUCAGGUGUCACAUUUAGACCCUCCUCCACUCAAGUGUCAUACCGAUCCUCUCUUCCUUUCACACAGAGACCCUCCUCCACGCAGGUGUCACAGGGGCCCCUUCUUCUCAUCUUGUGUCCCAUAGCUCCCCUCUCCACUCAGGAGUCACACAGAGUCCCUCCUGAACUCAGGAGUCACCCUGAGCCUCUUCUCUGCUCAUGUGUCCCGUGGAGUCCUCCUUCUCUCGUGUGUUACCCUGAGUCCUGCUCACAUGUUGCAGUUGAGUCCAUUCUUCUCUCAGUUAUAAUGCAGAGCCCCUCCCUGACCUAUCGGUCACUUUCUGUCCCUGUUCCACCCGCAUGUUUCACGGAGCCUUCUCACUGUGGUCUCCCACUGGCCCUCUCCCAUCUUGAGCCACACACAGAGCUCCUCUGCCCCUGUGUGUGGUCGUGAGCCCACUCCCCAGCCAUAUGUCACUGGGGACUGUCUACUCAUGUG
This is a long non-coding RNA of Bos taurus (domestic cattle), 872 nucleotides long. NCBI's taxonomy places the organism in Eukaryota, Metazoa, Chordata, Mammalia, Artiodactyla, Bovidae. The record is from Ensembl.